RNAcentral lists this ribosomal RNA (301 nucleotides) under uncultured bacterium. RNAcentral describes it as "bacterial SSU rRNA". It matches the Rfam family "Bacterial small subunit ribosomal RNA", at positions 30 to 329 of the family's 1533-position model. The record is from RNAcentral.
AUUGAACGCUGGCGGCAUGCCUUACACAUGCAAGUCGAACGGCAGCACGGGAGCAAUCCUGGUGGCGAGUGGCGAACGGGUGAGUAAUAUAUCGGAACGUGCCCAGUCGUGGGGGAUAACGUAGCGAAAGCUACGCUAAUACCGCAUACGAUCUAUGGAUGAAAGCGGGGGAUCGCAAGACCUCGCGCGAUUGGAGCGGCCGAUAUCAGAUUAGGUAGUUGGUGAGGUAAAGGCUCGCCAAGCCGACCGAAUCUGUAGCUGGUCUGAGAGGACGACCAGCCACACUGGGACUGAGACACGG